CGAUCCGUAGCUGGUCUGAGAGGAUGAUCAGCCACAUCGGGACUGAGACACGGCCCGAACUCCUACGGGAGGCAGCAGUGGGGAAUAUUGGACAAUGGGCGAAAGCCUGAUCCAGCCAUGCCGCGUGUGUGAAGAAGGCUUUCGGGUUGUAAAGCACUUUCAGUGAGGAAGAAAGCCUUGGGGCUAAUACCCCCAAGGGACGACAUCACUCACAGAAGAAGCACCGGCUAACUCCGUGCCAGCAGCCGCGGUAAUACGGAGGGUGCGAGCGUUAAUCGGAAUUACUGGGCGUAAAGCGCGCGUAGGCGGCGUGAUAAGCCGGUUGUGAAAGCCCCGGGCUCAACCUGGGAACGGCAUCCGGAACUGUCAGGCUAGAGUGCAGGAGAGGAAGGURGAAUUCCCGGUGUAGCGGUGAAAUGCGUAGAGAUCGGGAGGAAUACCAGUGGCGAAGGCGGCCUUCUGGACUGACACUGACGCUGAGGUGCGAAAGCGUGGGUAGCAAACAGGAUUAGAUACCCUGGUAGUCCACGCCGUAAACGAUGUCGACUAGCCGUUGGGGUCCUUGAGACCUUUGUGGCGCAGUUAACGCGAUAAGUCGACCGCCUGGGGAGUACGGCCGCAAGGUUAAAACUCAAAUGAAUUGACGGGGGCCCGCACAAGCGGUGGAGCAUGUGGUUUAAUUCGAUGCAACGCGAAGAACCUUUACCUACCCUUGACAUCGUGC
Molecule: ribosomal RNA, 724 nt
Filed under: Halomonas ventosae
Lineage: Bacteria; Pseudomonadati; Pseudomonadota; Gammaproteobacteria; Oceanospirillales; Halomonadaceae
Description: bacterial SSU rRNA
Rfam family: Bacterial small subunit ribosomal RNA
Source: RNAcentral